UACGAAGGGUGCAAGCGUUAAUCGGAAUUACUGGGCGUAAAGCGUGCGUAGGUGGUUUGUUAAGUCUGAUGUGAAAGCCCUGGGCUCAACCUGGGAACGGCAUUGGAAACUGGCUUACUAGAGUGCGGUAGAGGGUAGCGGAAUUUCCGGUGUAGCGGUGAAAUGCGUAGAGAUCGGAAGGAACAUCCGUGGCGAAGGCGGCUACCUGGACCAGCACUGACACUGAGGCACGAAAGCGUGGGGAGCAAACAGGAUUAGAUACCCGUGUAGU
RNAcentral lists this ribosomal RNA (271 nucleotides) under uncultured bacterium. Its description in RNAcentral is "partial 16S ribosomal RNA". It matches the Rfam family "Bacterial small subunit ribosomal RNA", at positions 524 to 794 of the family's 1533-position model. The record is from RNAcentral.